This is a long non-coding RNA of Uranotaenia lowii, 1568 nucleotides long. RefSeq lists it as uncharacterized. The record is from RefSeq and is a predicted model, not a curated record. NCBI's taxonomy places the organism in Eukaryota, Metazoa, Arthropoda, Insecta, Diptera, Culicidae. The transcript is spliced from 5 exons.
UCGUCAAAAGACAUUUCCGGAGGAAUGAAAUGAUCUCAAUUUUGCGACAGAGCUGUUGAGGACAAGUGCGACUUAUUGACCGUGAGUUGGUUCCGUCGAAAACGGUUAACUCGUGAUCGAGCAAUACGCAGUGGGCGUUAAAACAUGCACGAGUAAAAGGUCCAGGAAUCGCACCCACAAAAGGAGCACCCCGGAACCAUACUCUUUCGGAUCAUUAAGCCCAAUUCAGCACUGACGAAAUCAACAGCGAGCGCAUAUGAAUCAGCCCAUCCUUGCAUGUUCGGGGCAUCAACAUCAGACAAUUGCAUGUUUCGUCAGCAUAACGUAUGAUACCAACAAACACUCACGGUUCAGCGUAGCCAGAAACGUCUACAGACCAACGACUCACACACAAGGCCUUCGAAAGAAGGCCUUAAAUUGCAGUCUGAAUCCUAUAAGCCAUCUUAGGAUUAGCCGCAGCGUGAGCGUCCGGGAAAGUGCAUGUACCCGUAGAGCAAAUGUGCUGACAAUUCCAGCACAAUCCCACUCGUCAUAAGUGAGAAAUUUAAUGUAUGUAGAGAAUAAGGGGUUAAUCUGGUCAAUAUGAUAUGUAUUCCGUAUGCUAAGAAGUUUUGUCUCAUUUGAAGUACAUCUAUAGUCGAGUGUUCCCUAAAACUAUUAUAUUGAAAUGCUUUAGCCGGGCAAUGAUCUGAAAUGAUACGGGACUCGUUCUAAAUUGUGCGUUUUGAUUGAGAUUGCAUUUUAUUGUUGUUUGUGCUUCUGCACCGAAUAGCCUCGGAAAAGGCGAAUAAUUAUUACAAUACCGUUGCGCUUUUGGCACGGAGAGAAAAGGUUGUAUCAAUCAAAGAGAAAUAAUGUCGUCAUUAUAAAGCUGCUCACAUUUCUGAUUUUUUCUGCUGUCACUUGUCAAGUGUAAAAGUUUGCAUUUACUUGUUGUAAUUGUAGUUUUAAUGAGAAAAAUCGAUUUGUUACUUAACAAGAAAUUUUCAAAAGGUGCUGCUUAAACGAAAACCAUACGCCAGAAGUCGCAAAAAAGUUAACGAAACAGUGAGUACCCUGUGAAAGUACUUCUGUAAAAUAUGGCAGAAACAUAACCGAACGGAAUCUAGAGUACUAGAAAAAAAAAAUGAGACGUCAAAAGUUUUGAAUAUGAUUUCUCCAGCGUCUAAAACUGAUAGAGGAAGAAAACUGAUGAGCUUCGAAGAUGAUUGCCCAAAAGUUUAAAAAUUGACGGGCUUUGAAUCUACAAGCAAUGUACACUUAGGCGGAAUUAGCUCAUGCAUUAAAAAGGAAGCUUCACCUACCAGGACAAGACUUGCACGCUUCUGUGGAUCAAAGCAAUUCACCCGACACCUCGAAAUCAAAUAAUUCUUCAAUUCGAUUUUCACCACUCGAAGCUUUGGCUUUGAUUUUAGAUCCAAGCCUUAUCCGAAAAAAGUUACGAAAGGCUACGGAAAGUGGAUUAGGAAAGAAACGUAGACCUUUAUCCAUGCUAUCCUACGGCUGAUUCAAUCAGAAAGAAGUUCUGAUGUAGGGUAAGCGGAUAUUCUCGACAAUACAAAAUUUUA